Long non-coding RNA from Anopheles darlingi, 175 nucleotides. RefSeq lists it as uncharacterized. The record is from RefSeq and is a predicted model, not a curated record. The transcript has 3 exons. Lineage: Eukaryota; Metazoa; Arthropoda; Insecta; Diptera; Culicidae.
GUUUGUGCAAACUCGCGUCUCAACACUUUUGAUUGACGGUAGCACCAGCAACACACCUUCCGAGCCUUCUGUGAAACCUGUCCAGCGAAGAAAAUGGCUCGGUGUCAACGGAAAUAGAUCUCCAGAGCCGGUUACUAUCAUAAUUAUAGCCCAUGAUGGUUUCACACUCAUCGCU